This 460-nucleotide ribosomal RNA is filed under the name uncultured bacterium. RNAcentral describes it as "partial 16S ribosomal RNA". It matches the Rfam family "Bacterial small subunit ribosomal RNA", at positions 338 to 795 of the family's 1533-position model. The record is from RNAcentral.
CCUACGGGGUGCAGCAGUGAGGAAUAUUGGUCAAUGGGCGAGAGCCUGAACCAGCCAAGUCGCGUGAAGGAUGACGGCCCUACGGGUUGUAAACUUCUUUUGUCAGGGAGCAAUUGAGUCCACGUGUGGUCUUAGCGAGAGUACCUGAAGAAAAAGCAUCGGCUAACUCCGUGCCAGCAGCCGCGGUAAUACGGAGGAUGCGAGCGUUAUCCGGAUUUAUUGGGUUUAAAGGGUGCGUAGGCGGAAUAUCAAGUCAGCGGUAAAAAUUCGGGGCUCAACCCCGUCGUGCCGUUGAAACUGAUGUUCUUGAGUGGGCGAGAAGUAUGCGGAAUGCGCGGUGUAGCGGUGAAAUGCAUAGAUAUCGCGCAGAACCCCGAUUGCGAAGGCAGUGUGCCGUGCCGCCACUGACGCUGAGGCACGAAAGCGCGGGGAUCGAACAGGAUUAGAUACCCUAGUAGUC